ACAGGACAAGGCUGUGUCUCUUCUCAAGCUUGAGUCCAAAUUUAACUCUGUCUCUGUUUGAUUACUUGUUUUUUGUCUCAUUUAAUAGAUGUCAACAGUGUUUGAACCGGACAUCUUCUUGGUCCUUCGAGGCGGAUUCCAACACGUCUGACGAUUCCAGCAAGAGUGAGUGAAACCAGAGACCAUGGCAUCCAAAUCCUGAUUGAGGAACUGCGUUUCUUCAUUUUGGCUGGAAUUGGACGACUGACGGAAUACCGAGGACAAAAGGAAGGAACGCAGAGUUCAAUGUCAUCAAUGUUUGAACCUGACAGAUGGAGGUCUCGCAACUACGUCUUCACAGAGACAACAGUCAGUGGAAACUUGCUGACAUCAGCCUCCUCCUGCCCUACAGGACACUCUCCCUCCUGACUGAUCCACACUUCCUCCUCUUCCUCUUUAAUGUGGGGGGGCUGUGGAUCCUCCUGCUGCUGAAGGGGACGUUCUUCUUGACGAGCGUUCAUCUGUUGGACGUCCACAAGACAACACAAACAAACUUCAGCUCAGAUGUGUCAAAUGUUUUUUAGACCAUCAAAUAUAAUAUUUUCCAAGUGGACUGACACCACUUUGUGGUGAUGUUCUUCUACACAUGGAAUAAUCAUCAGUUAUUGAUUAUUAUGAAUUGUGUUAUUGAUCCUGUUUUCUGCAUUUACAUUAAUUACUGAUUAAAAAGUAACAACUUAAAGAAAA
Nerophis ophidion (straightnose pipefish) is the source of this 726-nucleotide long non-coding RNA. RefSeq lists it as uncharacterized. NCBI's taxonomy places the organism in Eukaryota, Metazoa, Chordata, Actinopteri, Syngnathiformes, Syngnathidae. The transcript is spliced from 3 exons. The record is from RefSeq and is a predicted model, not a curated record.